CUCUCCAGCUGACUGACCGACCGAACAAAAAAACUUCCCUCACCCCGCGCAGGAUCAGCCAUGGUGGUGCGCCCGGCCGCCGCAUCCCAGCGCCGGAGCCGAUUGCUGCUCUCUCCCCUCCGAAUCCUCGCUCCGCUGCAGCCCGCGCAUCUCGUCCGUCCUGCUCGCCGUCCACUCACCUCACCCCACUGCCGCUCUGCUCGUCCCCAGGCCCGACGUGAGGCUAGACGAGGAGACCUGCUCGACGAUGCCCGGAGAGGCGCCCUACGCCGCGCAAGCUCCGAUUCUCCUCGACUCUGACUUCAAUACCGACGCUGCACUGCUGUUGCCUGUGGGUGUUGAUUGAUGGACCAUUUUCGAGUAGAAAUAGAUGUCCAGUCGUACUUGACAUUUGUAGAUGGCAAAAGAGUGUAUCAGAGGGGCAAAACAUCGGAUUUUGCAGCAGGUCGGGACUUGUCCAUGGCGCACAUAACAUCAGCUGUGGAGGAAACAAGUACGCAAAAGAUGUGGAGCAACAUGCCAUCUCAAGAAAACAUGCAAAGAACCAGAAAAAGACAGCGACGCUGAUAAGGAUGCAACUCCUCUUCCUAAAUGGCAAAAGUCAAAUGAACCUCCAGCAACCACUACGUACUUCUACUCCUCCGUGCACGCCAACUAAGCAAUCUUCUCAACCUUUUAUUGCAACUCCAAGCCCGGUGACAAGGUUGAGGGCAUCAGCCAUUGCGAUUUCUUCUUCACCUCCUAGUGCAUCUACGAGGAGCAAAAGUACUACAAAUAGCCCCGGCAAACAAGUUUAGUUAGUUUACUUGUAUGUUGAACUACUAGUGUGAUCCUUUUGGUGAUGUAUGGGGCAUGUGAUCCUUUUGGUGAUGUAUGGGGCGUUUGAUCCCUUUGGUGAUGUGUUGGGCUUGUGAUUAUCACAUAUACUCUAUGUCCUGCUGAA
Molecule: long non-coding RNA, 943 nt
Organism: Lolium perenne
Lineage: Eukaryota; Viridiplantae; Streptophyta; Magnoliopsida; Poales; Poaceae
Source: RefSeq, a predicted model, not a curated record